This 236-nucleotide ribosomal RNA is filed under the name uncultured bacterium. RNAcentral's name for it is "partial 16S ribosomal RNA". It matches the Rfam family "Bacterial small subunit ribosomal RNA", at positions 98 to 334 of the family's 1533-position model. The record is from RNAcentral.
CCGCACGGGUGAGUAACACGUAUCCAACCUGCCGUCUACUCUUGGACAGCCUUCUGAAAGGAAGAUUAAUACAAGAUGGCAUCAUGAGUCCGCAUGUUCACAUGGUUAAAGGUAUUCCGGUAGACGAUGGGGAUGCGUUCCAUUAGAUAGUAGGCGGGGUAACGGCCCACCUAGUCUUCGAUGGAUAGGGGUUCUGAGAGGAAGGUCCCCCACAUUGGAACUGAGACACGGUCCAA